UACAGAGGGUGCAAGCGUUGUUCGGAAUUACUGGGCGUAAAGCGCGUGUAGGCGGUAUGGUAAGUCUUGUGUGAAAGCCCUGGGCUUAACCCAGGAAGUGCGCAAGAUACUGCCAAACUUGAGUGAUGGAGAGGAUGGCGGAAUUCCCGGUGUAGAGGUGAAAUUCGUAGAUAUCGGGAGGAACACCUGUGGCGAAGGCGGCCAUCUGGACAUCAACUGACGCUGAGACGCGAAAGCAUGGGGAGCAAACAGG
This 253-nucleotide ribosomal RNA is filed under the name uncultured bacterium. RNAcentral's name for it is "partial 16S ribosomal RNA". It matches the Rfam family "Bacterial small subunit ribosomal RNA", at positions 524 to 776 of the family's 1533-position model. The record is from RNAcentral.